CAGCAGCCGCGGUAAUGCGAAGGGGGCUAGCGUUGUUCGGAUUUACUGGGCGUAAAGGGCGCGUAGGCGGACUGAUAAGUCAGGGGUGAAAUCCCAAGGCUCAACCUUGGAACUGCCUUUGAUACUGUUUGUCUUGAGUUCGAGAGAGGUAAGUGGAACUGCGAGUGUAGAGGUGAAAUUCGUAGAUAUUCGCAAGAACACCAGUGGCGAAGGCGGCUUACUGGCUCGAAACUGACGCUGAGGCGCGAAAGCGUGGGGAGCAAACAGGAUUAGAUACCCCAGUAGUCCCUGUCUCUUAUAA
RNAcentral lists this ribosomal RNA (301 nucleotides) under uncultured bacterium. RNAcentral's name for it is "partial 16S ribosomal RNA". It matches the Rfam family "Bacterial small subunit ribosomal RNA", at positions 509 to 809 of the family's 1533-position model. The record is from RNAcentral.